Aricia agestis (brown argus) is the source of this 283-nucleotide long non-coding RNA. RefSeq lists it as uncharacterized. Lineage: Eukaryota; Metazoa; Arthropoda; Insecta; Lepidoptera; Lycaenidae. The record is from RefSeq and is a predicted model, not a curated record. The transcript has 3 exons.
CGUGUUCGUGUGUUGAUUAUUACUUUUCUGUGUGAUUUUGCUCAGUUUUCUUCGCUUGCUAGAUAUUAUAGUAAUAAAUAAAAUGGACAAGAACAUUCCAUUCAUAUUAAAACACUUCUUCAAAGACAUUAUAAAUGAACCUGGAAGUGAUGUAAAUGUAUCUGGAACUUGCAAAAAGUGUUCGAAAACACUGAAAGGAAGUUUGAAUUCUACAUCCAACUUUUUGAACCAUUUAAAAAGAAAAGGACAUGCUGAUGUAUUAGCAGAGUAUGAAAAACUCAAA